Molecule: long non-coding RNA, 513 nt
Organism: Daktulosphaira vitifoliae (grape phylloxera)
Lineage: Eukaryota; Metazoa; Arthropoda; Insecta; Hemiptera; Phylloxeridae
Exons: 3
Source: RefSeq, a predicted model, not a curated record
GAAAAUACAGUUUACAUUAUUAGAAAUAAAUUUAUAUGCAAAACUAUUUCACAAAAUAUAAUUUUAAUUUAGCAAGAAAGAAACAAGAACAAUAGAUCACUGUUAAAAAAAGAUCAAAAACCAUUUUUGUCGCAAAGUGGGCAACUACAUUUCAUCACGAAGCACUGCCACAAAAGAAGAAUUAAAAUGUAUUAUAAAAUCAUAAUUUAUUAUUACUAUUGAGCAACAUUUACUACAUUCAGAUUAAGAGACAAUUUCCAAUAAACAGUUAAGAAGUUUACAAUCUCAUAACUGAGAAAUGGUCAGAAAAUACGCUGUAAAAAAUUAAUUUUUUUGCACAAUAAUGUUACAAAUCCUCAACCAUACAGUCCUAUUAUAAAAUUUACAGUUAAAUUUGACUGCCUUUGCACGAUAAUUGUACUGCUAUAAGUAUGAUAAACUGUAAUAUUGAUUUAUUGAAACGUGUUAAGACGAUGCAUAAAUGAUCAAUUUUACAAAAACCAUCUGCCAAAC